GGUCGGUUAGCUCGGUCGGCAGAGCAUCGCAAUUACAAUCAUCCAUGUAUUCAUGGAACAAGAGUUACUGCGGAGGCCAUAGGUUCAAGCCCUAUACUGACCA
Molecule: non-coding RNA, 103 nt
Organism: Xylariaceae sp. FL1272
Lineage: Eukaryota; Fungi; Ascomycota; Sordariomycetes; Xylariales; Xylariaceae
Source: the annotation of a GenBank genome assembly